RNAcentral lists this ribosomal RNA (515 nucleotides) under uncultured bacterium. Its description in RNAcentral is "bacterial SSU rRNA". It matches the Rfam family "Bacterial small subunit ribosomal RNA", at positions 107 to 598 of the family's 1533-position model. The record is from RNAcentral.
UGAGUAACGCGUGGGUAAUCAACCCAUAAAACCGGGAUAACCCCGGGAAACCGGGGCUAAUACCGGAUACGCUCCAUGGAACGCAUGUUUUAUGGAGGAAAGGCGGCAUAGCGAAAGCAGCUGUCGAUUAUGGAUGAGCCCGCGUCCCAUUAGUUAGUUGGUGAGGUAACGGCUCACCAAGGCGACGAUGGGUAGCCGGCCUGAGAGGGUGACCGGCCACACUGGGACUGAGAUACGGCCCAGACUCCUACGGGAGGCAGCAGUGGGGGAUAUUGCGCAAUGGGCGGAAGCCUGACGCAGCGACGCCGCGUGAGCGAAGAAGGCCUUCGGGUUGUAAAGCUCUGUCAUAAGGGACGAGAGGCACGGUGAGUAAUAUGCACUGUGCAGGACGGUACCUUAGGAGGAAGCCCCGGCUAACUACGUGCCAGCAGCCGCGGUAACACGUAGGGGGCGAGCGUUGUCCGGAAUUACUGGGCGUAAAGGGCGCGUAGGCGGCUUAAUAAGUCAGGUGUGAA